Molecule: long non-coding RNA, 915 nt
Organism: Pleuronectes platessa (European plaice)
Lineage: Eukaryota; Metazoa; Chordata; Actinopteri; Pleuronectiformes; Pleuronectidae
Exons: 2
Source: RefSeq, a predicted model, not a curated record
GCAGUCAGAGGGUGGAGAAGCAUUUUGACAUGGCAGACAGACUCAGCUGAUGAUCUGCGUCAGGGCGUUUGGUGUCAACGUCACAUGGCCUGUGCAGCUCACAGAAUCGUUUCACUAUGGGCUGAGGUAGUAGGUUGUAUAGUUUUAGGGUCACACCCACACUGGGAGAUAACUAUUCAACCUACUGUCUUUCUCAAAGUGACAAUCCCACAUCUGUCUUCACUGCAUGGAAUCUGACUCCUGGUUCUUGGACAACAGAACUUGCUUGUUUGUUCCAGCUGCUCACACAGUGUGAGGUAGUAGAUUGUAUAGUUGUAGGGUAGUGAUUUUGCCCUGUUUGGAAGAUAACUAUACAAUUUAUUGCCUUCCCUGAGGAGUGGCAUCUCUCCUGGUUUAUGAAAUGUGUAUCAUAUAAUCUUAUAAACUAUUUGAAUGCCUGAUUUAUUUCACACAGACUUGCAGAGCCAUCUGUACUGUUCAGUAUAUCCAUAAACUUUUUAUGUUUAAAUGUGUCAAUGUUUAAUAUUUUACAAUUAUGGUUAUAGAUUGUGUUAAAUAUAUGGGAUUUGCAGUCAUAUGAAUGUAUUCCUGAAAGAAAAAUUUCUCAAACAUUCAAUUAAACUCAAUAAAAUUGUAUUUAUACAUCAAAAAUUCAAAGCCUAUUAUACAUUAUCUCAAGGCACUUUACAUGGUAAGAUCUAUGGAAUAUGGAAAGGAGUGUUUACAUUCUUCAACAAGUAAUACCACCAUGAUAACAACGUCCAUUGCUUUUUGCACUGUAGUACAGUUACCAGAUUAAUGUGUAUAGUUUUACUACACUAUUACAACUGCGUUCAAAGCAAUGUUUGUUUUUAGUAUAAGGUUACUGAUGGAGUUGUCAUACGUAUGUGUCAUGAAUAAAGUAAUCAGUUACAA